GGCAAGGUAGCUCAGUGGUAGAGCGCUUGCCUUGCAUGCAUAAGGCCCUGGGUUCGAUUCCUCAGCACCA
RNAcentral lists this transfer RNA (70 nucleotides) under Dipodomys ordii (Ord's kangaroo rat). It matches the Rfam family "tRNA". Rfam says of the family: Transfer RNA (tRNA) molecules are approximately 80 nucleotides in length. Their secondary structure includes four short double-helical elements and three loops (D, anti-codon, and T loops). Further hydrogen bonds mediate the characteristic L-shaped molecular structure. tRNAs have two regions of fundamental functional importance: the anti-codon, which is responsible for specific mRNA codon recognition, and the 3' end, to which the tRNAs corresponding amino acid is attached (by aminoacyl-tRNA synthetases). tRNAs cope with the degeneracy of the genetic code in two manners: having more than one tRNA (with a specific anti-codon) for a particular amino acid; and 'wobble' base-pairing, i.e. permitting non-standard base-pairing at the 3rd anti-codon position. The record is from Rfam by way of RNAcentral. Lineage: Eukaryota; Metazoa; Chordata; Mammalia; Rodentia; Heteromyidae.